This 112-nucleotide unclassified non-coding RNA is filed under the name Nostoc sp. 'Gunnera magellanica cyanobiont'. RNAcentral's name for it is "partial 16S-23S ribosomal RNA intergenic spacer". Lineage: Bacteria; Bacillati; Cyanobacteriota; Cyanophyceae; Nostocales; Nostocaceae. The record is from RNAcentral.
UUUUAGGGAGACCUACACCCCUUACAUAUCAAAAAACAUCCAGUUAAAUAGAUAGUAAGUUGGUCUAACCUAGGUCGGUCGCAGAUAUUUGCAAAAUGUGAAAGCUCAAACU